RNAcentral lists this ribosomal RNA (253 nucleotides) under uncultured bacterium. Its description in RNAcentral is "partial 16S ribosomal RNA". It matches the Rfam family "Bacterial small subunit ribosomal RNA", at positions 524 to 776 of the family's 1533-position model. The record is from RNAcentral.
UACGUAGGGUCCGAGCGUUGUCCGGAAUUAUUGGGCGUAAAGAGCUCGUAGGCGGUUUGUCGCGUCUGCUGUGAAAUCCCGAGGCUCAACCUCGGGUCUGCAGUGGGUACGGGCAGACUGGAGUGCGGUAGGGGAGAAUGGAAUUCCUGGUGUAGCGGUGAAAUGCGCAGAUAUCAGGAAGAACACCAGUGGCGAAGGCGGUGCUCUGGGCCGGAACUGACGCUGAGGAGCGAAAGCGUGGGGAGCAAACAGG